Molecule: ribosomal RNA, 441 nt
Filed under: uncultured bacterium
Lineage: Bacteria
Description: partial 16S ribosomal RNA
Rfam family: Bacterial small subunit ribosomal RNA
Source: RNAcentral
CCUACGGGCGGCAGCAGUGGGGAAUAUUGCACAAUGGGGGAAACCCUGAUGCAGCGACGCCGCGUGAGUGAAGAAGUAUUUCGGUAUGUAAAGCUCUAUCAGCCGGGAAGAAGAAAGCCGGUACCUGACUAAGCCGCCACGGCUUACUACGUGGCAGCAGCCGCGGUAAUACGUAGGGGGCACGGGUUAUCCGGAUUUACUGGGUGUAACGGGAGCGUAGACGGGUGUGCAAGUCUGAAGGUAAAGCCCAGGGCUCAAACCUGGGACAGCUUUGGAAACUGUUGGGCGUGAGUGCGGGAGAGGUAAGUGGAAUGCCUGGGGUAGCGGUGAAAUGCAUAGAUAUUAGGAAGAACACCAGUGGCGAAGGCGGCAUACUGGACAGUAACUGACGUUGAUGCACGAAAGCGUGGGGAUCGAACAGGAUUAGAUACCCGAGUAGUC